GCCGAAGUGGCGGAAUUGGCAUACGCGCAUGGCUCAGGACCAUGUGGGCGAAAGCCUGUCCGGGUUCAAGUCCCGGCUUCGGCA
Molecule: transfer RNA, 84 nt
Filed under: Nitrospira sp.
Lineage: Bacteria; Pseudomonadati; Nitrospirota; Nitrospiria; Nitrospirales; Nitrospiraceae
Description: tRNA-Leu
Rfam family: tRNA
About the family: Transfer RNA (tRNA) molecules are approximately 80 nucleotides in length.
Source: RNAcentral